UCCUUUUGGGGCUGGGGCCGGGGCAGGGGCAGGAACUGGAACUGGUACUGGAACCGGAACAGGGGCUGGAGCCGGUUCCUUUGGCUUGGGUUUUUCCGCAGGCUUAUCAGCAGGAGGUUUAGGCUUUUCUGGCUCUUUAGGCUUUUCUGGUUCCUUAGGCUUCUCAGGCUCUUUAGGCUUUUCCGGGGCUUUAGGUUUCUCAGGCUCCUUAGGCUUCUCGGGAGCUUUGGGUUUCUCAGGCUCUUUAGGCUUCUCCGGAGCUUUUGGUUUCUCGGGUUCCUUAGGCUUCUCCGGAGGUUUAG
RNAcentral lists this long non-coding RNA (302 nucleotides) under Daucus carota (carrot). RNAcentral describes it as "long non-coding RNA (DCAR_LNC000485)". Lineage: Eukaryota; Viridiplantae; Streptophyta; Magnoliopsida; Apiales; Apiaceae. The record is from RNAcentral.